AUUGACACUGGUUUGCAGCUACAUGAUGGAUAUAAUACGCUGAUCAUAUCGUAGCAUUUCUAAAAAAAAAUGGUUUAGCUGGAAAAUAAAGUUAACUCCUGCAAAGUUCAAGAAUCUGGAAAAUGUUUGGGAGUCGAUUGCGGGCUGCGUGCACACAGCACAAUGACGAGUCCAUUUGGAUUUGGGAGUAUUGCGAAAGCAGUCUUCAGUCACUACUUUCCAGCACCUUUGAAGCAAGUGUGAACAAAUUACACGGGAGAGAUGUCCAACGUUUCAACAAACAGCCCCCGUGGACUCUUAAAAAGGAUCGAGAGCACACCCCAUUCGCAAGCGCUUUCAUUUGGCACACAUAAAUGGCUCGUUGCGAACAUUGGCUAAAGCAGGGUUGCUUUACUCACUUUGAGUAACUAACGCCCCAUUGAGUAGGCUAUAUUAGACUUUUCUAUUUAUUCAUAAGACCUUUUACUGCUAGAAGUCGUACUAGGGGUACGCGCAAUAUAAAGCAGAUGGAAAUGCAACUGAAUGUACUAGUACAGCAAACGUUGUAGAACUGAGCACAUCUCGCACACUCAUCCUUCAACAUGUAUACUAAUCAUGCUUCUUCCCCUUCAAGCAAAAAGGACGAGCGUAAAGCCAAGAUUGUGUGGCCAGACUUUUGCAACGCCUCAAGAAAGUCAAGCAAAUGCGACACCAGCAAGAAAGAGGCAAUAAUUUUUGUGCUUGUCAACGCUUCUGUGGUUGCCAGUAACAUUAUUAUUCUGGCAAUCAUCCUGUUUUAAAAGAGGUAUUGUAAUCUGUUCUAGACUGAAAAUGAGGUUGGCAAAAAUACUUCCACUUGACUAUUUAAAAUAAUGUAUGCAAAAAUAAUAUAGAUACAAGUGGAUGUGGUAUAUUAUUAACAGAUCAUUAAUUAUCAAAUUAAAAAGUGAAUCUGUUUUGUA
Molecule: long non-coding RNA, 941 nt
Organism: Cloeon dipterum
Lineage: Eukaryota; Metazoa; Arthropoda; Insecta; Ephemeroptera; Baetidae
Exons: 2
Source: RefSeq, a predicted model, not a curated record